CAUUUUACUAUUCCAUUCAAUUUUAGAUUAAACCCCUGGAGUAUGAGAUUAUUCUUGGAGUUCUAAAUGAGCAUCAUCACUGGACACUUGUGGUCAUCUACCCACAAGAAAAAAAGUCCUUGUACUUGGAUCCGCUGGGCGAGUCGAAGGAAGCCAUCAACAAAUGUUUGGACACAACAAGGGCUUUCAUGCGAAAACAAGGCUGCAAUUUUUCAAGGUGGAGAUGUGACACUGUACCACACAC
Long non-coding RNA from Acanthochromis polyacanthus (spiny chromis), 244 nucleotides. RefSeq lists it as uncharacterized. The record is from RefSeq and is a predicted model, not a curated record. NCBI's taxonomy places the organism in Eukaryota, Metazoa, Chordata, Actinopteri, Pomacentridae. The transcript has 3 exons.